ACUAUUUUGGCAGAUUAGUGCAAUAAAUUUAGAAUUUAUAUAUGUAAUUGAUAAUUACAAGUAGUA
This 66-nucleotide transfer RNA is filed under the name Ptecticus aurifer. RNAcentral's name for it is "tRNA-Leu". Lineage: Eukaryota; Metazoa; Arthropoda; Insecta; Diptera; Stratiomyidae. The record is from RNAcentral.